CUAGUAAAUCGCCUUAUCGAUUCUAAUUUAUUAGGGUAGGAAAGUCCGAACACCAUAGUGCAAGCAUAGUGGUUAACAGCCACCAGCCGAGAGGUUAGGAAAAGUGCAACAGAAAGUAUGUACAGGUAAUGCUGUAGUGAAAUCAGGUAAACUCUAUGCGGUGCAAUGUCAUGUAUACCAACGUUUGAGGGCUGCACGUUCGAUGUUGGAGGGUAGGCAGCUAAAGUUUGCUGGCAACAGUAAACGCAGAUAAAUGAUAAGGGUUGAGACAGUUAAUGUCUUGAUACAGAAUUCGGCUUAUAGGUUUGCUUAUUAA
Molecule: RNase P RNA, 316 nt
Filed under: Winogradskyella sp.
Lineage: Bacteria; Pseudomonadati; Bacteroidota; Flavobacteriia; Flavobacteriales; Flavobacteriaceae
Description: RNase P RNA component class A
Rfam family: Bacterial RNase P class A
About the family: Ribonuclease P (RNase P) is a ubiquitous endoribonuclease, found in archaea, bacteria and eukarya as well as chloroplasts and mitochondria.
Source: RNAcentral